GGCUGCACCCCCGUCUCCCCCAGGCUCUCAGGGCCGGCUCCUCGAGGAACGAGCUUGUCCAAAUGCUGAUGAGAGAGAAGGCAGCUGCGGGAUUUCACCUUUCCCUCCCAGCUGCCUCCCAAGCUACCUCCAGCUUCUCAUUAGACAUUGUUAGAUUACAGUUGUUGGAUUAGAGUCUGACCUCAGAUUGCAGCCACGUCCCGGUGGAGCAUUCCCAGAACUGCCGUGGUGCCUUGCAUUGGGUCCUCCACAAUAACAUUUAAGCAGUGCUUGCCUUUCUGGUUAGCAAAUCAUUUCCAAGUGUCUGAGGGGAAUAAUCCACCUUAGCGCCUGAGCAAUUUUGCUUAUGUGCCGGCAGGCAGGGCUCCUGGGCUACGAGAGGUCUAAAACAGGCCAACAUUUGUGCUGAUUACCAAUUAAUGUGCUCAUUGCUACUAAUUUUUUAAUGCAAAUUACAUCAACUUCGAGUGAAUGUUAACCUUAUCUAGCAGUCAUUUCUUGCCAUUGGCACAGCUGCUAACCAUGAGGGCUGCCUGGGUGGUGUCUUCUUGAGAGGUGAGGGAGUGGUGAAAUGAUGAUCGGAGCAACCC
Molecule: long non-coding RNA, 590 nt
Organism: Oxyura jamaicensis (ruddy duck)
Lineage: Eukaryota; Metazoa; Chordata; Aves; Anseriformes; Anatidae
Exons: 3
Source: RefSeq, a predicted model, not a curated record